GACAGAGGCCUCGAGCGUUAGGCGGAAUCACUGGGCUUAAAGCGUGUGUAGGCGGGCCCGUAAGUGUCUUGUGAAAUCCCACGGCUCAACCGUGGAACUGCUGGGCAUACUGCGGGUCUUGGGCCAACUAGGGGCAGCCGGAACAAGCGGUGGAGCGGUGAAAUGCGUAGAUAUCGCUUGGAACGCCGAAGGUGAAAACAGGCUGCUGGGGUUGCGCCGACGCUGAGACACGAAAGCUAGGGUAGCAAACGGG
RNAcentral lists this ribosomal RNA (253 nucleotides) under uncultured bacterium. Its description in RNAcentral is "partial 16S ribosomal RNA". It matches the Rfam family "Bacterial small subunit ribosomal RNA", at positions 524 to 776 of the family's 1533-position model. The record is from RNAcentral.